Molecule: transfer RNA, 85 nt
Filed under: Streptomyces racemochromogenes
Lineage: Bacteria; Bacillati; Actinomycetota; Actinomycetes; Kitasatosporales; Streptomycetaceae
Also listed under: 24 other names
Description: tRNA-Lys
Rfam family: tRNA
About the family: Transfer RNA (tRNA) molecules are approximately 80 nucleotides in length. Their secondary structure includes four short double-helical elements and three loops (D, anti-codon, and T loops).
Source: RNAcentral
GGAGAGGUACCCAAAGCGGCCGAAUGGGGUCCGGCUCUUCGCCGGACGGGCUCUGCCCACGCAGGUUCGAAUCCUGCCCUCUCCG